GUGUUUUCUCAUUCAUCACUACCGUUUCCAUUACCUCUUCCUCUUUCUCAUUCCUUUUUCAAACCUCGAAACCAAACAAGGGUUUUCUUUUCUCUUCUUUUUUAAUUUUCCUUUUCUCCUCUAUUUCAAUUUUCACGCCUCAAUUUUCUCGUCCCUUCAAUAAAAAAAUUUCGUCUUUGAUUCUCAGCAAAACCAUUUUUUUUUCUCCCGAGGAUUAAAUUUCCCUGUAAUUUCCAGUCCUGGGGCGUGUUCGUUUUCUUCAAGUGUUCGAAUGGAGCGAAGCAAAAGGAAUCUCUGUGUUGUUAUUCUCUCGUAGUUCAUGGCUACCCAUGAUGGUUUUUGGCUGAAAGUUGCUAACUUGCUGACUCGGUUUUACUGACCCGAGUGGUAGAAGAAGGAUAGGGGGAAUAGUCGGAGUGAUUACUGAAGAAGUGGGGUUUAGGGUUUUUGGCGUGGUUGUGAAUUUGUGAUUGAAUUAGGGUUGUUGAGUGCAUGAGAGGUAGAAUUGCGUUGUGAUGGAUGUGGAGGAAACUGGGGAGUUGGUGUCUUUGGACCCAGAUAUGUUGCAGCUUCAGGAGGUGUCUCCUUUUGCACUGAAAUCGAGUCCUUACGUUGCUGAGGAGCUAUUCUCACAGUGGCUUUCGCUUCCAGAUACUUGUCGCCUGGUUAAGUCAUUGCUUGCUGAUGCAAAGGCAGGAGCUCCUUUGAGUGCAGUUGAGAACUCAACAAAUACAAAUGCUCUGUUGAGUAACUCAUUACCUUCCUUGUUUCCUGCUGGGAGUACACCACCACUUUCACCACGCAGUUCAUCUGGUUCCCCACGUACCACGAAACAGAGAACUAGUCCUUCUUCAUUAGGUUCUCCACUAAAAUUAGCCAGUGAACCUGUAAGGGAAGUCAUUCCUCAGUUCUACUUCAAAAAUGGUCGUCCACCGCCAAAUGAAAUGAAAGAGCAUUUUCUGUUUCAAAUUGAUAAUCGAUUCUAUGGUCAUUCAGAUGGUCUGCAGUUACAUGAUUUUAAGUCUGUUAUGAAAGAGAUCUGCAAACUUCCCUCAUUUUUCUCCACUGCUCUUUUAAAAAAGAUUGAUGUCAAUUUUACAGGAACCAUAACAAGGGAUCAAUUUAUUGACUAUUGGAUUCGGGGCAACAUGUUAGCUAUGGAUUUAGCCACACAAAUAUAUACCAUAUUGAAGCAACCAUAUCGAUCAUACCUUGUACAGGAUGAUUUCAAACCUGUCCUGAGGGAACUGUUGUCCACACAUCCUGGAUUGGAGUUUUUGCAAGGCACACCUGAAUUUCAGGAAAGAUAUGCUGAGACUGUCAUACAUAGAAUAUUUUACUACAUGAAUAGAUCGGGAAAUGGUCGACUUACCCUGAGGGAAUUGAAACGUGGGAACCUAAUUGAUGCAAUGCAGCAUGUAGAUGAAGAAGAGGACAUUAACAAAGUUCUGAGGUACUUCUCAUAUGAGCAUUUUUAUGUCAUUUACUGCAAAUUUUGGGAGCUCGACACGGAUCAUGACUUUUUUAUUGAUAAAGAGAACCUUAUUAAAUAUGGCAACCAUUCUCUUACAUAUCGGAUUGUUGAUAGAAUUUUUUCCCAGGUUCCACGUAAAUUUACCAGUAAAGUUGAAGGGAAGAUGAACUACGAAGAUUUUGUUUAUUUUAUACUUGCUGAGGAAGAUAAGUCAUCUGAACCUAGUCUAGAAUACUGGUUCAAAUGCAUUGAUUUGGAUGGAAAUGGAGUGCUGACACCAAAUGAAAUGCAGUUCUUUUAUGAGGAGCAGUUGCAUCGCAUGGAGUGCAUGGCUCAAGAGCCUGUACUAUUUGAAGAUAUAUUGUGCCAGAUUGUUGAUAUGAUUGGACCAGAGAAUGAGGGAUAUAUUACAUUAAGAGAUGUUAAAGGCAGCAAACUUUCUGGAAAUGUUUUCAAUAUUCUUUUCAAUCUAAACAAGUUUAUCACUUUUGAGACUCGUGAUCCAUUUCUCAUACGUCAGGAACGUGAGGAUCCAAAUUUGACAGAGUGGGAUCGUUUUGCGCAUAGAGAGUAUAUUAGGCUUUCCAUGGAAGAAGAUGGUGAAGAUAUGUCAAAUGCCAGUGGGGACGUCUGGGAAGAAUCACUUGAGGCCCCAUUCUGAGAUUUAUUAGGGUAUCACUAGAAGUUCUCAUGUCAAUGUCACAUCUUUUCACAAUAUCAAGAGAUCACAUCUUUUCACAAUAUCAAGAGAUUUGCUAUCUGUAAGGUGAAUCAAAGGCGGCGAUGCUUCUGGAAUCUAGUUUCUGGAUAUGCAAUUUCAAGCCAUAUAAUAUUUGAAGAGGCCUUCUUGGUGGUAAAUAUCUCCUAAUACAGAGGUUCCCUUCAAAUCUGUUUUCUGAAGAAACUAAGAAUGGCAAGUGCAGAUUUAUUAUUCUUGUUCAUAGACAUGUUUCUUAGAAUUAUCCGUAUCAAAUUAAAUUUCUGUAAAAAAUCUGGAGUUUUCCUUUUAGUUUUCUUUGUUUUUAUGUUUGUUAUCUUUUUCCCUUUACAAAUUUUAUCACGAUCAAUUGUAUCAAAUUAUCAACAUUUUUUAUUUUUUUUUGGUUAUAAUAUAGUGAAGAGAAAAUGC
RNA transcript from Abrus precatorius (Indian licorice), 2603 nucleotides. It is a transcript of the gene named serine/threonine protein phosphatase 2A regulatory subunit B''beta-like, with no coding region annotated. Lineage: Eukaryota; Viridiplantae; Streptophyta; Magnoliopsida; Fabales; Fabaceae. The transcript has 14 exons. The record is from RefSeq and is a predicted model, not a curated record.